This 433-nucleotide ribosomal RNA is filed under the name uncultured bacterium. RNAcentral's name for it is "partial 16S ribosomal RNA". It matches the Rfam family "Bacterial small subunit ribosomal RNA", at positions 29 to 507 of the family's 1533-position model. The record is from RNAcentral.
AAUGAACGCUGGCGGCAUGCCUAAUACAUGCAAGUCGAACGAGAACAUCGGGUCCUUUGUCGCCUGGGUUCGUCACGGGUCGGAACCUUACCUUAGGGACGGACUAACUCCCCGACAGGGAUACUAUUAGCGGAUAAUGUCUUCGGACCAAAGAUUUAUCGACCUUGGAUGUGCCCGCGUUGGAUUAGCUUUUUAGUACGGUAAUAGCCUAUCAAGGCGACGAUCCAUAGCUUGUUUGAGAGAAUGGUCAGCAACACCGAGACUGGGACACGGCCGAGACUCCUACGGGAGGGAGGAGUGCGGAAUAGUGGACAGUGGGCGAAAGGCUGAUCCAGCAAUGACGGGUGAGUGAUGAAAGCCUUAGGGUUGUAAAGCGCUAUUACCCAGGAUGAUAAUGACAGUACCGGGACAAUAAGCCCCGGCUAACUCCGUG